CGCGGGAUUGGGGGACGGGGUGCAGCAGGCGCGAAAACUUUACAAUGCCGGCAACGGCGAUAAGGGGACCUCGAGUGCCAGGUUACAAAUCUGGCUGUCGCGAUGCCUAAAAAGCAUUGCAUAGCAAGGGCCGGGCAAGACCGGUGCCAGCCGCCGCGGUAACACCGGCGGCUCGAGUGGUAACCGUUAUUAUUGGGUCUAAAGGGUCUGUAGCCGGCCGGAUAAGUCUCUUGGGAAAUCCAGCAGCUUAACUGUUGGGCUUUCAGGAGAUACUGUUCGGCUCGAGGCCGGGAGAGGUGAGAGGUACUUCAGGGGUAGGGGUGAAAUCUUGUAAUCCUUGAAGGACCACCAGUGGCGAAGGCGUCUCACCAGAACGGACCUGACGGCAAGGGACGAAAGCUAGGGGCACGAACCGGAUUAGAUACCCGGGUAGUCCUAGCCGUAAACGAUACUCGCUAGGUGUCGGCCACGGUGCGACCGUUGUCGGUGCCGUAGGGAAGCCGUGAAGCGAGCCACCUGGGAAGUACGGCCGCAAGGCUGAAACUUAAAGGAAUUGGCGGGGGAGCACCACAACGGGUGGAGCUUGCGGUUUAAUUGGAUUCAACGCCGGAAAUCUUACCGGGACCGACAGCGAUAUGAAGGCCAGGCUGAAGACUUUGCCGGAUUAGCUGAGAGGUGGUGCAUGGCCGUCGUCAGUUCGUACUGUGAAGCAUCCUGUUAAGUCAGGCAACGAGCGAGACCCACGCCCACAGUUGCCAGCGUACUCUCCGGAGUGACGGGUACACUGUGGGGACCGCCGCUGCUAAAGCGGAGGAAGGAAUGGGCAACGGUAGGUCAGUAUGCCCCGAAUAUCCCGGGCUACACGCGAGCUACAGUGGUUGGAACAAUGGGUAUCUACCCCGAAAGGGGAUGGAAAUCUCCUAAAUCCAAUCUUAGUUCGGAUUGAGGGCUGCAACUCGCCCUCAUGAAGCUGGAAUCCGUAGUAAUCGCGUUUCAACAGAACGCGGUGAAUACGUCCCUGCUCCUUGCACAAAUUCAAUCACUAGU
Molecule: ribosomal RNA, 1047 nt
Filed under: uncultured Methanosaeta sp.
Lineage: Archaea; Methanobacteriati; Methanobacteriota; Methanomicrobia; Methanotrichales; Methanotrichaceae
Description: bacterial SSU rRNA
Rfam family: Archaeal small subunit ribosomal RNA
Source: RNAcentral